This 406-nucleotide ribosomal RNA is filed under the name uncultured bacterium. RNAcentral's name for it is "partial 16S ribosomal RNA". It matches the Rfam family "Bacterial small subunit ribosomal RNA", at positions 29 to 526 of the family's 1533-position model. The record is from RNAcentral.
AUUGAACGCUGGCGGCAGGCCUAACAAAUGCAAGUCGAACGAGUGGCGGACGGGUGAGUAAUGUCUGGGAAACUGCCUGAUGGAGGGGGAUAACUACUGGAAACGGUAGCUAAUACCGCAUACCAUCAGAUGUGCCCAGAUGGGAUUAGCUAGUUGGUGGGGUAACGGCUCACCAAGGCGACGAACCCUAGGCGGUCUGAGAGGAUGAACAGCCACACUGGAACUGAGACACGGUCCAGACUCGUACGGGAGGCAGCAGUGGGGAAUAUUGCACAAUGGGCGCAAGCCUGAUGCAGCCAUGCCGCGUGUAUGAAGAAGGCCUGCGGGUUGGAAAGUACUUUCAGCGGGGAGGCGUUACCCGCAGAAGAAGCACCGGCUAACUCCGUGCCAGCAGCCGCGGUAAUUC